RNAcentral lists this microRNA (21 nucleotides) under Dasypus novemcinctus (nine-banded armadillo). RNAcentral's name for it is "Dno-Mir-506-P1i_3p (mature (guide))". Lineage: Eukaryota; Metazoa; Chordata; Mammalia; Cingulata; Dasypodidae. The record is from RNAcentral.
AUUGACACCUCUGAGAGUGGA